CACGGUUUCAUGUAUGGCAAUUCUGAACAAAUGGUUUUAAAUUUAUUAAGUCAACUUCAAAUAAAAAAUUCAGCUCAGAUGGCUCUAAUUUCUAUGAAAAUACCAUGAUUUAGAGAACGAAAUCAAUCAAAGUUGGAAUAAUGUUUCCAUACUGUCAGACACAAUCUUUUAACUCUUUCUUAGGAGCACAAAAGUGACUGUUCUUACAAGCACAGAUAAGUUGGAAUAGCUUAUGGUGUUAAAAUGUGUAGCUUCGUGUAGGAUUAUUGACAAAAGCAAAAGAAAAUCUAUGUAGAAAACUUACAGUAGUAUCCAUUAGCCAAAGGUGCUGAUACAUUCCAUUCCCCUUUUGUGAUGCUUAUGAAGCUUUUUUUCUAUGACGACUACUUUAUAUGCCCAUUCGGUUUCUCGUGUUGCUAUCUCAGGGAUUAGUUUGUAAUUCAAUUCCAUGUUCACCAUUGGAAAAUGGAAAUAAGAGAAAUUAUAAAAUAUUUGUGGAGUAGAAGGAACAUAAAUUGAUUUUUGGGGAAAACAUUUAUGCUUAUAAUACAUUAAAUUCGGCAAAAAAAAAAUAUUGGAGGAAAAAAAU
RNAcentral lists this long non-coding RNA (589 nucleotides) under Olea europaea subsp. europaea. The record is from RNAcentral. Lineage: Eukaryota; Viridiplantae; Streptophyta; Magnoliopsida; Lamiales; Oleaceae.